AUUGAACGCUGGCGGCAGGCCUAACACAUGCAAGUCGAGCGAGCGGCGGACGGGGGAGUAAUGUAUGUGGGCUGCCCGAUAUAGGGGGAUAACACCUGGAAACGGUGGCUAAUACCGCAUACUACAGGAUAACCCAUAGGGGAUUAGCUCGUAGGUGAGGUAAUGGCUCACCUAGGCGACGAUCCCUAGCUGGUCUGAGAGGAUGAUCAGCCACACUGGAACUGAGACACGGCCCAGACUCCUACGGAGGCAGCAGUGGGGAAUAUUGCACAAUGGGCGCAAGCCUGAUGCAGCCAUGCCGCGUGUAUGAAGAAGGCCUUAGGGUUGUAAAGUACUUUCAGUCGGGAGGCGUUACCGACAGAAGAAGCACCGGCUAACUCCGUGCCAGCAGCCGCGGUAAUUC
Molecule: ribosomal RNA, 403 nt
Filed under: uncultured bacterium
Lineage: Bacteria
Description: partial 16S ribosomal RNA
Rfam family: Bacterial small subunit ribosomal RNA
Source: RNAcentral